Molecule: ribosomal RNA, 253 nt
Filed under: uncultured bacterium
Lineage: Bacteria
Description: partial 16S ribosomal RNA
Rfam family: Bacterial small subunit ribosomal RNA
Source: RNAcentral
UACAGAGGUCUCAGGCGUUGUUCGGAUUCAUUGGGCGUAAAGGGUGCGUAGGUGGCGAGGCAAGUCAGAUGUGAAAUCCCGGGGCUCAACCCCGGAACUGCAUUUGAAACUGCCUUGCUCGAGUACUGGAGAGGAGACUGGAAUUUACGGUGUAGCAGUGAAAUGCGUAGAUAUCGUAAGGAAGACCAGUGGCGAAGGCGAGUCUCUGGACAGUUACUGACACUGAGGCACGAAGGCCAGGGGAGCAAACGGG